RNAcentral lists this ribosomal RNA (433 nucleotides) under uncultured bacterium. RNAcentral's name for it is "partial 16S ribosomal RNA". It matches the Rfam family "Bacterial small subunit ribosomal RNA", at positions 29 to 507 of the family's 1533-position model. The record is from RNAcentral.
AACGAACGCUGGCGGCAUGCCUAACACAUGCAAGUCGAACGAGAGCUUCGGGUCUAGUGGCGCACGGGUGCGUCGCGCGUGGGAACCUUCCCUUAGGUUCGGAAUACCUCUCCGACAGGGGUGCUAAUACCGGAUAAUUUCUUCGGACCCAAGAUUUAUCGCCCUUGGAUGGGCCCGCGUUGCAUUAGCUAGUUGGGAGGGUAAAAGCCUACCACGGCGACGAUCCAUAGCUGGGCAGAGAGAAUGAUUCGCCACUCUGGGAGGGGGAAGCGGCCCAGAAUCUUACGCAAUGGGGCAGAGCCGAAUAUUGGAAAACGGGCUGAGGGAUGAUGGAGUACGGACGGGUAAGUGCUGUAGGCCUUAGAGAUGUAAAGCUCUUUUAACCGGGAUGAUAAUGACAGUACCGGGAGAAUAAGCUCCGGCUAACUACGUG